RNAcentral lists this ribosomal RNA (497 nucleotides) under uncultured bacterium. Its description in RNAcentral is "partial 16S ribosomal RNA". It matches the Rfam family "Bacterial small subunit ribosomal RNA", at positions 28 to 507 of the family's 1533-position model. The record is from RNAcentral.
GAUGAACGCUGGCGGCGUGCCUAAUACAUGCCAGUCGAGCGAACAGAUAAGGAGCUUGCUCCUUUGAAGUUAGCGGCGGACGGGUGAGUAACACGUGGGUAACCUACCUAUAAGACUGGGAUAACUUCGGGAAACCGGAGCUAAUACCGGAUAACAUUUUGAACCGCAUGGUUCUAAAGUGAAAGAUGGUUUUGCUAUCACUUAUAGAUGGGCCCGCGCCGUAUUAGCUAGUUGGUAAGGUAACGGCUUACCAAGGCGACGAUACGUAGCCGACCUGAGAGGGUGAUCGGCCACACUGGAACUGAGACACGGUCCAGACUCCUACGGGAGGCAGCAGUAGGGAAUCUUCCGCAAUGGGCGAAAGCCUGACGGAGCAACGCCGCGUGAGGGAUGAAGGGUUUCGGCUCGUAAAACUCUGUUAUUAGGGAAGAACAAAUGUGUAAGUAACUGUGCACAUCUUGACGGUACCUAAUCAGAAAGCCACGGCUAACUACGUG